CUAGGAUUCAUUUGCAUAAGAAGCCUUGCAAAGUAAGAUAGGCUUUCACUUCAGUGCACACACAGGGCAUCCAUCAAGAUUUCUGAGAUUAUAUAAAGAAAGAACAGAGAGAAGAGGAAGACCAGAUGGUUCACAGGUGGGGAAAACUGUGGCUACUUCUCCAGUGUGGCCAGGCUGCUGGCCCUGCCAUUCUCUGCUGUUGACUGAGUGGAGGAGGGGAUCUUGAGUAAGAUAUGCUGGCAGGAGCAGGAAAUAAAACAGAGUCCAGGAUGGCAAAAUCCCAACAGAGGCAAAAUCCUGAUAGAUGCAGCUUCCAGCCUCACUGCACCCAAAUUUGAAUUUGUAAAGACAGGCCACAAUUAUCCUCAGCAGCCAAGACAUUUAAGGUCAUUUCAAUGCUACUCGAGGCAAAGCAGUAGCAUUUUUGUCCUGGACUGACUGUUUUGAUGCUGCUUUAUUCCUCCCAGCUUGGCUUCUCAAUCUGACUCUGCAGCUUUUCACUUCUUUACAGGGCGUGAGUGUGUCACCAGCAGACAAGCACACAGGGCACAGUGUCUUCUCCACCCAUUCUUUACCUGUCUGCAAAGUUGGUCAAGUCCCUGAGUCUGGAGGUGGCCCGAGAUGAGCCCAGGAAUGAUUCAGACUGUAACAUAACUUGGCCUCCUCUCCCCUCUGCCUAAAGAAUGGGGGCAGGACUCAACAGGAAUGGGUGCAUUUUCUGGUUAGGUUUCAGCCUUCUGAUGGGACAGUCUCUCCCCCUUAGGAAGCUGGAGUUGGCUAAUGGAGCCCAGCUGGGUAGUGAGGUCUGGGCUCCUAGCUACCCUGGUUGAAUCCCAGAUCCAGCUCUUGACUAGCUGUGCAGCUUUACAGGGGAAACUUCCCUGGGCUUAGUUACAUUCUCUGUGUAAUGAAGAGCAAUAUCAGUAUGAAUAAAAUGGUUGUGAGAAGUAAUUGAGUUGUAGAACCUGUGAGUAGAGAUAUAGAGGAUUAUGAAAAUAUGAAAUGUUGAGAACAGUUUCUCACCAUAGGAAUCACUCAGUAAAGACUAGCUGUCUGGGGCCAGGGUUGUGGCUCAGCGGCAGAGCGCUCGUCUAG
RNAcentral lists this long non-coding RNA (1095 nucleotides) under Marmota monax (woodchuck). Lineage: Eukaryota; Metazoa; Chordata; Mammalia; Rodentia; Sciuridae. The record is from RNAcentral.